AGAUCGAAUUGUAAACUUUAGAGUCGUUGUCCAGACCAGCCGAGUAAAUAAGUUCCUUGGAAUAGGACAUCAUGGAGGGUGAGAAUCCCGUCUUUGGCUUGAGCAUUGGUCUUUUGUGAUGCGACUUCAACGAGUCAGGUUGUUUGGGAAUGCAGCCUUAAUUGGGUGGUAAAUCUCACCUAAAGCUAAAUAUUGGCGAGAGACCGAUAGCGAACAAGUACCGUGAGGGAAAGAUGAAAAGAACUUUGAAAAGAGAGUUAAACAGUAUGUGAAAUUGCUAAAAGGGAACCGUUUGAAGUCAGUCUGGCUGGUCUGCAAUCAGCUUCAACUUUGGUUGGAGUGCACUUGUAGGCCAUUUUGCCUGCCAACAACAGUUUGUUCUGCAGCAAAAAGGUGUUGAGAAUGUAGCUUUCUCUUCGGAGGAAGUGUUAUAGCUCUUCGCGAAAUACUGUGGUUCAGACUGAGGCUUGCAGUGAAUGCUAUUUUGGCUUUGGGGAUGGAUUGCUCAGUGCUUUGCUUGG
RNAcentral lists this ribosomal RNA (521 nucleotides) under Apophysomyces variabilis. Its description in RNAcentral is "eukaryotic LSU rRNA". It matches the Rfam family "Eukaryotic large subunit ribosomal RNA", at positions 135 to 623 of the family's 3401-position model. The record is from RNAcentral. Lineage: Eukaryota; Fungi; Mucoromycota; Mucoromycetes; Mucorales; Mucoraceae.